AAAAACUUAAAAAACAAACCCUAAUAGUGUAGAUUUAGGUUUGUGAACACUAAACCGACCAAAACCCCCCUCAAAAAAUUAAAAAUAAAAUAUGCAUGUAAGCAUCGCAACAACGACAACAAAUAAUAAAAGACAAGAAUAAGCAAACCAACCUACGUGAGCGUGAAUCAUCCCGGUAAAUAAAGAUAAUAUCGUUGUCUUUUCUUUCUACCCUUUUUAUAUGUAUUUUUAUAUGUUGC
RNAcentral lists this long non-coding RNA (239 nucleotides) under Lathyrus oleraceus (garden pea). Its description in RNAcentral is "Pisum sativum (pea) long non-coding RNA (PSAT_LNC014199)". Lineage: Eukaryota; Viridiplantae; Streptophyta; Magnoliopsida; Fabales; Fabaceae. The record is from RNAcentral.